RNAcentral lists this small nuclear RNA (117 nucleotides) under Giardia duodenalis ATCC 50581. Lineage: Eukaryota; Fornicata; Diplomonadida; Hexamitidae. The record is from RNAcentral.
GAGGUGCUUGGUAACAAAUGUGGCCUGCACUUCUCCGCGAACAAGGGGAGUUCAAUUUGCUCGUGCAUGGAAUAUAUUACAACAGAAUCGUGGUACUCGCGUCCCGUGGUAUCCUCU